RNAcentral lists this transfer RNA (83 nucleotides) under Phycisphaerae bacterium. Its description in RNAcentral is "tRNA-Tyr". It matches the Rfam family "tRNA". From Rfam's summary of the family: Transfer RNA (tRNA) molecules are approximately 80 nucleotides in length. Lineage: Bacteria; Pseudomonadati; Planctomycetota; Phycisphaerae. The record is from RNAcentral.
GGGCGUGUGCCCGAGUGGCCAAAGGGGAUGGGCUGUAAACCCAUUGACGCAAGUCUUCGAUGGUUCGAAUCCAUCCGCGCCCA